UACGAAGGGGGCUAGCGUUGUUCGGAAUUACUGGGCGUAAAGCGCGCGUAGGCGGCGACCUUUGUCAGAGGUGAAAUCCCGAGGCUCAACUUCGGAAUUGCCUUUGAAACGGGGUUGCUUGAGUCCGAGAGAGGAUGGCGGAAUUCCUAGUGUAGAGGUGAAAUUCGUAGAUAUUAGGAAGAACACCGGUGGCGAAGGCGGCCAUCUGGCUCGGUACUGACGCUCAGGCGCGAAAGCGUGGGGAUCAAACAGG
Molecule: ribosomal RNA, 253 nt
Filed under: uncultured bacterium
Lineage: Bacteria
Description: partial 16S ribosomal RNA
Rfam family: Bacterial small subunit ribosomal RNA
Source: RNAcentral